Long non-coding RNA from Arabidopsis lyrata subsp. lyrata, 366 nucleotides. RefSeq lists it as uncharacterized. The record is from RefSeq and is a predicted model, not a curated record. The transcript has 3 exons. NCBI's taxonomy places the organism in Eukaryota, Viridiplantae, Streptophyta, Magnoliopsida, Brassicales, Brassicaceae.
CGCACCGAUUUCCGGCCAAAUCGGAGCCAAAUUGAUUGCUGCUUCACCUCGCCGUCGUUCUCUGCUGUCUCCCAAAGCCCGUAGGUGAGGUAGCUCUGAAGUGUAGAUCGGAGUAUCAACAUCAACAACCAUUUCCUGCCAACUAUAAGGUUCAAGAAGACAUGGGACUUGAUUCUAUUGCUCUGAAGAGGAGGCUGAUAGCUGUUACUUUGGAGGCCCAUUCACCAGUUUGUGGACCUUUGGUAAUGUAACUUUUGGAUUGUGAGUCACAUGACUUUGUUCCUUUUGGUAUCAAUCGAGUAUGUAAGCUAACUUUUGCAAAUUGUAAUCGAAAAUGUAAUGUCAACAGAGUCACAUGUCAGGUUU